UUGUAUGAUAGCUGUAAUAAU
RNAcentral lists this non-coding RNA (21 nucleotides) under Caenorhabditis elegans. Lineage: Eukaryota; Metazoa; Nematoda; Chromadorea; Rhabditida; Rhabditidae. The record is from RNAcentral.